RNAcentral lists this ribosomal RNA (427 nucleotides) under uncultured bacterium. RNAcentral describes it as "partial 16S ribosomal RNA". It matches the Rfam family "Bacterial small subunit ribosomal RNA", at positions 355 to 774 of the family's 1533-position model. The record is from RNAcentral.
UGGGGAAUAUUGCACAAUGGGCGCAAGCCUGAUGCAGCCAUGCAGCGUGUGUGAAGAAGGCCUUCGGGUUGUAAAGCACUUUCAGCGCGGAGGAAGGGUGGUGUGUUAAUAGCACAUCACAUUGACGAUACUCGCAGAAGAAGCACCGGCUAACUCCGUGCCAGCAGCCGCGGUAAUACGGAGGGUGCAAGCGUUAAUCGGAAUUACUGGGCGUAAAGCGCACGCAGGCGGUUUGUUAAGUCAGAUGUGAAAUCCCCGCGCUUAACGUGGGAACUGCAUUUGAAACUGGCAAGCUAGAGUCUUGUAGAGGGGGGUAGAAUUCCAGGUGUAGCGGUGAAAUGCGUAGAGAUCUGGAGGAAUACCGGUGGCGAAGGCGGCCCCCUGGACAAAGACUGACGCUCAGGUGCGAAAGCGUGGGGAGCAAACA